This 247-nucleotide ribosomal RNA is filed under the name uncultured bacterium. RNAcentral's name for it is "partial 16S ribosomal RNA". It matches the Rfam family "Bacterial small subunit ribosomal RNA", at positions 530 to 776 of the family's 1533-position model. The record is from RNAcentral.
GGGUGCAAGCGUUAAUCGGAAUUACUGGGCGUAAAGCGCGCGUAGGUGGUUCGUUAAGUUUGAUGUGAAAGCCCCGGGCUCAACCUGGGAACUGCAUUCAAAACUGACGAGCUAGAGUAUGGUAGAGGGUGGUGGAAUUUCCUGUGUAGCGGUGAAAUGCGUAGAUAUAGGAAGGAACACCAGUGGCGAAGGCGACCACCUGGACUGAUACUGACACUGAGGUGCGAAAGCGUGGGGAGCAAACAGG